AGAAAUAAAAUAUAUAUAUACAAAAUAAAAUAAUAUAAAAGAUUUCCGGAGCAGUCCUCGUAUUUACUUGGGGAGUACUGCCAUCUGCCGGUAGUUAUCUGGCCCCAGCGUGUCAGCUGGUUUGCUGUCAAUGCCGUUUUCGUGUCGGACUGUAGGUUAAUUUCCACGUGCAGUGCUGUCUAGAAUGUAACAAAUUAAUUGAUGCGGGAUUGAGGGCUGCGCCACCCGAACGAGGUAACCAACAGAACCUGCGGGCCCCUUAUGGUUAACGUAGGCCGGAGCACUGUGCCCCAGGUUCAGGCAGGACGGGGCGACGGGAAGAUACUACGGAGGUGUACUUCGUAUAAAACCAGGAGUCACGCUCUGAUUUCGUUUUGAAGACACGGACAGGUAGGAACGUAUGGAGAGUAGCUGGUAAUCUUGCGGAAUACUUGUUGUGGAACUGGUCAGAGUAAUAAAGGGCUAACGGCAACACACUCAACACAGGGAACGACAGGGGUGCAGGUUAACAAAGGUUUUACAGGUACUGGAACGACGGUUAAGGGUACAAAUUAUAUAGGAAUAAAUCACAGGUAAAUAAGGCUGGUUAAUAGCAAAAGGCACUGGUAAAGAUAGAAGCAAAAGCAAAAGUUACAAACACUGGACUGACACAGGUAUAUAUAGCUUGGAGAUCUGGUGGGGAAGACGAUUAGGAGGGGCGAAAUUAAGUGGAAAUAUCUGGGGGAAAUCUCAUUUACUGGUUUGGGGCAGAUUAUUUCCUCACCCUUAAUUUCGUUUCCUCACAGGAUGAUACCUAACAAUAAUUUAAUUACUGGGUCACCGGAUUCAACUGGAUCAAUCUAGGGGUCAACGGUUUAAACUGGGCCACCGGGUCAAGAUGGGUCACCGAGUAAAGAUGGGUCACUGGGUCACCGG
This is a long non-coding RNA of Photinus pyralis (common eastern firefly), 915 nucleotides long. RefSeq lists it as uncharacterized. NCBI's taxonomy places the organism in Eukaryota, Metazoa, Arthropoda, Insecta, Coleoptera, Lampyridae. The record is from RefSeq and is a predicted model, not a curated record. The transcript is spliced from 3 exons.